RNAcentral lists this unclassified non-coding RNA (336 nucleotides) under soil metagenome. RNAcentral describes it as "partial contains 5.8S ribosomal RNA, internal transcribed spacer 2, and large subunit ribosomal RNA". The stretch from base 1 to 120 matches the Rfam family "5.8S ribosomal RNA", at positions 35 to 154 of the family's 154-position model. The record is from RNAcentral.
GAUGAAGAACGUAGUGAAAUGCGAUAAGUAGUGUGAAUUGCAGAAUUCAGUGAAUCAUCGAAUCUUUGAACGCACAUUGCGCCCUAUAGUAUUCUGUAGGGCAUGCAUGUUCGAGCGUCAUUUGUACCUUCAAGCUUUGCUUGGUGUUGGGUGUUUGUCCUCUCCCUGGUGUUUGGACUCGCCUUAAAACAAUUGGCAGCCAGUGUUUUGGUAUUGAAGCGCAGCACAAUUUGCGAUUCUGGCCUUAAAAUACUAGCGUCCAUAAGUACAUUCUCACUUUUGACCUCGGAUCAUGUAGGGAUACCCGCUGAACUUAAGCAUAUCAUAAGCGGAGGA